UAUGAUUUAAAGUGUAUCAAUUUAUCUAUAUCUAUCUAUUAAUCUCCAAUACCUAAAGCUGACGUGGCACAACAUUAUUUUUUUGGAUUUUUUUUUGCAACCUCAUUUUUUUGAGGUUUUUUUAGGACAUGUAUUUUCUCAUUUUUUGUACCCUGUGUUUAAACUGUAUCAAUUUAGUACUCUAUGAUUUAAAGUGUAUCAAUUUAUUCCCUUAUUUUGGAGUUGUGGGGCCCACAUAUAAUAUUUUUUACGAAUUAAUCGCACAUUGGUUCCAACAUUUUCACUAUUUUUUAUUUUGGUCCUCAAUAUUUUUUUUUGCAAUCAAAUUUUCGAAUCUCUUGAUUUCAUCGCAAUAAAAUAGCAAUGUUAAAAGAGGUUUUAUAAUUAACGAUAUUAUCAUGCGGCUCAUGCCAUUGCCUAUUUAACUUUCUUUUGCAUGUCAAUUUUAGUCCCCAAAAAUAAAAAUUUUUAAUUUUUAAUUUAAAUCCAGAAUUAAUUUUAGAAUUAAUCUUAAACUUAGUUCAAAAAACUUAUAAGUAUAAAGAAGUCUAUAAUCAUAAGAAUAUAGUAGCUGAAAUAUAUAUAUAUAUAGGCUGGGGCUAUUAUACUCUUAUGAGUAUAGAGCAUCUUGUACUCAUAAGUUUUUAGCCGUUCAGAUGAAAAAAUGUGCAAUUAGGAUGAGAGUGAUUACGAUUAGGUUGAUAGUGGACCCCCUAGGGUUGAGUGGGUGGUUGGUUGAAUAGUAUAAUUUAACGAGUAAAAAUAAUUAAAGAGUGAAUCAAACGACUAAAAAGUUAUGAGUACAAGAAGUUCUAUACUCAUAAGAGUAUAGUGGCCGAACUAUAACUAUAUAUAUAUAUAUAUAUAUAUAUAUAUAUAAUUGAGCUAGAAUACUUUUACAAGUAUCACUCCUUUGGUGCUAUUAGGUUUUUAGCCCUUGGAUCUCCUCAUUGAUUACUAAUAGCCGUUGGAUCAAACACUAUUCCACUUACACCACCUACUACCACCUACCACUAUCAUCCCAACCCUACAUUUCUCUAUCCAAGGGUUAAAAACUCACAAGCACCAUUCUCUUGAUGCUUUUAGAAAUAUUCUAGCUCAAUUAUAUAUNA
RNAcentral lists this long non-coding RNA (1112 nucleotides) under Ananas comosus (pineapple). RNAcentral describes it as "long non-coding RNA (ACOM_LNC007780)". Lineage: Eukaryota; Viridiplantae; Streptophyta; Magnoliopsida; Poales; Bromeliaceae. The record is from RNAcentral.